This 860-nucleotide ribosomal RNA is filed under the name uncultured bacterium. RNAcentral describes it as "bacterial SSU rRNA". It matches the Rfam family "Bacterial small subunit ribosomal RNA", at positions 524 to 1381 of the family's 1533-position model. The record is from RNAcentral.
GACGUAGGAUGCAAGCGUUGUCCGGAUUUAUUGGGCGUAAAGAGUUCGUAGGUGGUUUGUUAAGUUUGGUGUUAAAGAUUGGGGCUCAACCCUGAAACUGCACUGAAUACUGGCAGACUCGAGUGUGGUAGAGGCUAGUGGAAUUCCCAGUGUAGCGGUGAAAUGCGUAGAUAUUGGGAAGAACACCGGUGGCGUAGGCGACUAGCUGGGCCAUAACUGACACUGAGGAACGAAAGCCAGGGGAGCGAAUGGGAUUAGAUACCCCAGUAGUCCUGGCCGUAAACGAUGGAUACUAGGCGUAUCGGGUAUCGACCCCUGAUGUGCCGCAGCUAACGCGAUAAGUAUCCCGCCUGAGUAGUACGGCCGCAAGGUUGAAACUCAAAGGAGUUGACGGGGGCCCGCACAAGCGGUGGAACAUGUGGUUUAAUUCGAAGCAACGCGAAGAACCUUACCAGGGCUUGACAUGGUAGGAACCUUUAGGAAACUAGAGGGUGCCCGCAAGGGAGCCUACACACAGGUGGUGCAUGGCUGUCGUCAGCUCGUGUCGUGAGACGUUGGGUUAAGUCCCGCAACGAGCGCAACCCCCGUUGUUAGUUGCCAUCAGGUAAUGCUGGGCACUCUAGCGAGACUGCCGGUGACAAACCGGAGGAAGGUGGGGACGACGUCAAGUCAUCAUGCCCCUUAUGCCCUGGGCUACACACGUGUUACAAUGGUUGGGACAAUGUGAUGCAAUCCCGCGAGGGGGAGCGAACCACCAAACCCAAUCUCAGUUCGGAUCGCAGGCUGCAACUCGCCUGCGUGAAGUCGGAAUCGCUAGUAACCGCAGAUCAGCACGCUGCGGUGAAUACGUUCCCGGGCCU